AUUGAACGCUGGCGGCAGGCCUAACACAUGCAAGUCGAGCGGAUGAAGGGAGCUUGCGCCUGGAUUCAGCGGCGGACGGGUGAGUGAUGCCUAGGAGUCUGCCUGGUAGGGGGGGAUAACGUCCGGAAACGGGCGCUAAUACCGCAUACGUCCUGAGCGAGAAGGUGGGGGAGCUUCGGACCGCACGCUAGGAGAGGAGCCUAGGUCGGAUUAGCUAGUUGGUGGGGUAAGUGCCUACCAAGGCGACGAUCCGUAACUGGUCUGAGAGGAUGAUAAGUCACACUGGAACUUGGACACGGUCCUGACUCCUACGGGAGGCCGCAGUGGGGAAUAUUGGACAAUGGGCGAAAGCAUGAUACAGCCAUGCCGAGUGUGUGAAGAAGGUCUUCGGAUUGUAAAGCACUUUAAGUUGGGAGGAAGGGCAGUAAGUUAAUACCUUGCUGUUUUGACGUUACCAACAGAAUAAGCACCGGCUAACUUCGUG
RNAcentral lists this ribosomal RNA (484 nucleotides) under uncultured bacterium. RNAcentral describes it as "partial 16S ribosomal RNA". It matches the Rfam family "Bacterial small subunit ribosomal RNA", at positions 30 to 507 of the family's 1533-position model. The record is from RNAcentral.